AUACAUACACAUCUGUGGGCAGCAAGCUCUUCUGAUUCUCUUUUGGAAUCCCUCCCACCCCCUACAUACACACCUCUCUGGCCUUAAACAUUUCUUGCAACAAGGGGACAACCACUGCCCUUUCCUGCCCCGCCCCCGCCCCCCACACACACCCGGUUAGGCACCAGUCGCCCCGCAGCCAUGGCCGCAGCCGGAAAAGAAUAGAGAGCUCGCUGUGCUGCAAUUAGACGAAAACAUCCUGUUAUGAGAGGCAGGGACGGUGGAAGCACAGCUAUCUGAGAGUGCGUUAAUCAGUCAGGAUAGGGGCUUGGAAGCCCAGGGCUUGAAUUUGGUGAAUUCGUGCAAUUUGGAGCAUUUCGACUUAGUAUUGAUCCCUAAACUCAAUUUUGAAAACAGCCUCCAUUGCAGAAGUGUGGGUUGUGUUAUCCCAGUAUUUGCACGCAUCGA
Molecule: long non-coding RNA, 447 nt
Filed under: Pan troglodytes (chimpanzee)
Lineage: Eukaryota; Metazoa; Chordata; Mammalia; Primates; Hominidae
Description: long non-coding RNA NONPTRT001672
Source: RNAcentral